RNAcentral lists this ribosomal RNA (408 nucleotides) under uncultured bacterium. Its description in RNAcentral is "partial 16S ribosomal RNA". It matches the Rfam family "Bacterial small subunit ribosomal RNA", at positions 28 to 526 of the family's 1533-position model. The record is from RNAcentral.
GACGAACGCUGGCGGCGUGCUUAACACAUGCAAGUCGAACGAAGUGGCGAACGGGUGAGUAACGCGUAAUCAACCUGCCCUUCCGAGGGGGACAACAGUUGGAAACGACUGCUAAUACCGCAUACUGAAGGAGGGGAUUGCGUCUGAUUAGCUAGUUGGAGGGGUAACGGCCCACCAAGGCGAUGAUCAGUAGCCGGGCUGAGAGGAUGAACGGCGACAUUGGGACUGAGACACGGACAAGACGCCUACGGGAGGCAGCAGUGGGGAAUCUGCCGCAAUGGACGAAAGUCUGACGGGGCAACGCCGCGGGAGUGAUGACGGCCUUCGGGUUGUAAAGCUCUGUUAAUCGGGACGCGGUACCGGAAUAGAAAGCCACGGCUAACUACGUGCCAGCAGCCGCGGUAAUUC